Molecule: ribosomal RNA, 492 nt
Filed under: uncultured bacterium
Lineage: Bacteria
Description: partial 16S ribosomal RNA
Rfam family: Bacterial small subunit ribosomal RNA
Source: RNAcentral
AGUGAACGCUGGCGGUAGGCCUAACACAUGCAAGUCGAACGGCAGCACAGUAAGAGCUUGCUCUUACGGGUGUCGAGUGUCGGACGGGUGAGGAAGACAUCGGAAUCUACUUUUUCGUGGGGGAUAACGUAGGGAAACGUACGCUAAUACCGCAUACGACCUACGUGUGAAAGCAGGGGAUCUUCGGACCUUGCGCGAUUGAAUGAGCCGAUGUCGGAUUAGCUAGUUGGCGGGGUAAAGGCCCACCAAGGCGACGAUCCGUAGCUGGUCUGAGAGGAUGAUCACACACACUGGAACUGAGACACGGUCCAGACUCCUACGGGAGGCAGCAGUGGGGAAUAUUGGACAAAGGGCGCAAGCCUGAUCCAGCCAUACCGCGUGGGUGAAGAAGGACUUCGGGUUGUAAAGCCCUUUUGUUGGGAAAGAAAAGCAGCAGGUUAAUACCCCGCUGUUCUGACGGUACCCAAAGAAUAAGCACCGGCUAACUUCGUG